This 122-nucleotide ribosomal RNA is filed under the name Antipathes griggi. RNAcentral's name for it is "partial 18S ribosomal RNA". It matches the Rfam family "Eukaryotic small subunit ribosomal RNA", at positions 1681 to 1799 of the family's 1831-position model. The record is from RNAcentral. Lineage: Eukaryota; Metazoa; Cnidaria; Anthozoa; Antipatharia; Antipathidae.
ACUACCGAUUGAAUGGUUUAGUGAGGCCUCCUGAUUGGCGCCGCCGCCCCGGCAACGGAGUAGCGGAUGCCGAGAAGUUGGUCAAACUUGAUCAUUUAGAGGAAGUAAAAGUCGUAACAAGG